UACCUCCGUCCCUAUUACUCGUCGCUUUGACUUUUUAUUUGCAAUGUUUGACCAUUCGUUUUAUUUAAAAAAUUAGUAUUUAAAGUACGUACUUUUGAUAAUAAAACAAGUCACAAACAAAAUAAAUAAUAAUUCUAUUUUUUUUAAUAAGACGAAUGAUAAGAUAUUACAAACAAAAACUCAAAGCGACAAGUAAUAUGGGACGAAAGU
RNAcentral lists this unclassified non-coding RNA (210 nucleotides) under Oryza sativa (Asian cultivated rice). RNAcentral's name for it is "partial microRNA MIR431b-5 precursor". Lineage: Eukaryota; Viridiplantae; Streptophyta; Magnoliopsida; Poales; Poaceae. The record is from RNAcentral.